ACUCCUACGGGAGGCAGCAGUGGGGAAUCUUAGACAAUGGGGGCAACCCUGAUCUAGCCAUGCCGCGUGAGUGAUGAAGGCCUUAGGGUUGUAAAGCUCUUUCAGCUGGGAAGAUAAUGACGGUACCAGCAGAAGAAGCCCCGGCUAACUCCGUGCCAGCAGCCGCGGUAAUACGGAGGGGCUAGCGUUGUUCGGAAUUACUGGGGCGUAAAGCGCACGUAGGCGGACCAGAAAGUUGGGGGUGAAAUCCCGGGGCUCAACCCCGGAACUGCCUUCAAAACUAUUGGUCUGGAGUUCGAGAGAGGUGAGUGGAAUUCCGAGUGUAGAGGUGAAAUUCGUAGAUAUUCGGAGGAACACCAGUGGCGAAGGCGGCUCACUGGCUCGAUACUGACGCUGAGGUACGAAAGUGUGGGGAGCAAACAGGAUUAGAUACCCUGGUAGGAUAGCG
RNAcentral lists this ribosomal RNA (448 nucleotides) under uncultured bacterium. RNAcentral describes it as "bacterial SSU rRNA". It matches the Rfam family "Bacterial small subunit ribosomal RNA", at positions 335 to 799 of the family's 1533-position model. The record is from RNAcentral.